Nomascus leucogenys (northern white-cheeked gibbon) is the source of this 77-nucleotide unclassified non-coding RNA. It matches the Rfam family "Y RNA". From Rfam's summary of the family: Y RNAs are components of the Ro ribonucleoprotein particle (Ro RNP), in association with Ro60 and La proteins. The record is from Ensembl. Lineage: Eukaryota; Metazoa; Chordata; Mammalia; Primates; Hylobatidae.
CUGGUCCAAAGGUAGUGAGUUAUUUCAACUGAUUGCUCACAAAGACUGAACUUGUUCUCACUACUGCACUUGACCUG